This 468-nucleotide unclassified non-coding RNA is filed under the name Hevea brasiliensis (rubber tree). The record is from RNAcentral. Lineage: Eukaryota; Viridiplantae; Streptophyta; Magnoliopsida; Malpighiales; Euphorbiaceae.
AUUCAAAAAAUAAAAAGAACGCGCAUUCCAGUAAGUAUCUCUCACCAUAAGUAUCAGAAACUAUGAAGGACAACAAGCGCAAUCCAGUAAUUGAUAACACUCGAUGAUAGUUAAGAAAAUUCAUAGUCCUCACUCGAUGAUAGUAAGAAAGUAAAGAAAAUUCAUAACCCUCAUACAGGCUUGCGGAUUUGGUUAGCUUCCGACUUCUAUCUUGCUUGCUAAUGUACAAUAUAGUUCAUAGAAGUGCUGGGGAGAAAAAUAGGAUUUUUUUUUUUUUUAAUCAGCUUAGGUAAGCCUAUAGAUCGAUGCUAAACUCAAACCUUUUCCCUUCAAUUUGUUCAUUCAUAAACAUUAACAAAUUUUAAGCAAUAAAAGCAGGAAAAAAUGAUGUUAACAUUGAAUGAGGUACAAAUUCAUUAGCUUGAGGACACCUCAGAGACUGGCCGACGCAAACCAGAAUAAACUGCU